UACGUAAGGGGCAAGCGUUGUCCGGAAUCAUUGGGCGUAAAGCGCGCGUAGGCGGCCCGGUAAGUCCGCUGUGAAAGUCAAAGGCUCAACCUUUGAAUGUCAGCGGAUACUGCCGGGCUAGAGUCCGGAAGAGGCGAGUGGAACUCCUGGUGUAGCGGUGGAAUGCGCAGAUAUCAGGAAGAACACCAACGGCGAAGGCAGCUCGCUGGGACGGAACUGACGCUAAGGCGCGAAAGCGUGGGGAGCGAACAGG
RNAcentral lists this ribosomal RNA (253 nucleotides) under uncultured bacterium. RNAcentral's name for it is "partial 16S ribosomal RNA". It matches the Rfam family "Bacterial small subunit ribosomal RNA", at positions 524 to 776 of the family's 1533-position model. The record is from RNAcentral.